UAAAAUUUUAUAAAUUAAAAUUGUUUAUUAGUAAAGAUAUAAGACCAGCUUUGCUCUACCUAUCGUACAAGAUAAUUUCUUAUGUCUCUAAAAUAUGAGCACCACCGUAGCCAAAAUUCUCUCAAGGCAAUGGGAGAUUAUAGAACACAGGGAAAUACAUCUGCAUCUUAUGAACGGUUCAGGAUAUUGCACUAGGAGGCAACAGAUUAAUUAUCUGCUCAAUUACUCCUCCUACUGUCAGGAGGCGAUGAUGUACGAAGCAUCAGAAAGGCAACUGGUGGCGAGCUUUCCUCUAGUUCGCUAACACGCUGGAGAGUGACUUGUUGAUGAAUUCUGUGUCAUCAAGCACCUGAAUAGAGGAGAUGUCAGAGUAAAGUUGUAAUUUACUCUAAAUUUAUUUGGUAUAAUAAUUAUAGAACCUGGAUUUGUGAAGCACUGAGGCAAAAUAGUAACUAACACUCAUGUAUUAUGCAUUUGGAGCGAGGCAAAAAUAGUAACUUCGAAUGAUUUUUGCGAUGGUUGUGGUGGGGAUAUUGAUGAUUCCAUUUUGGGUCAAUUCUUGAAAUAUUCAAUCAUGUAAGGCUGCUACUUACUACUAAGACCUCCUGUUAUUUCUUUAUCAUUAUCUAAUCAUAUGAAUCGUAAGAGCAGUAUGAAAUUCUUUAUAAAUUUACAAACCUGAGGCAAAUAAGUAAAGAAAAGUGUUGACUGGUGUUCGGUGUCACUGUGUUGGAUAUUUGUUGAUCAUUGUAAUGUUUCAACCUCAUACAAUGAAGUGUAAAUUCAUGAAUGUCUAUCAGUUUGGACAAUUUUUCAGCUUAAAAGCAAACAUUGUACAGCUUAUUUGGCUUUUAAAAUCAGAAAAAUAAUAAGGUAUCAAACAGUUUUCUAAGUUAUAGGAAUUUAAACUCCAUGAGCUUAAAGCAGAAAAUUAUUUAACCAAUCCAAACGGACAACUUCUGAGGACGCCAUCCUCACUGGACAUAGAACAUGCUAAUGACAGUUGAAACCAAGAUGAUCUGGUCUAGUAGGCAUGAUAAUCAACAGUUUUUCCUUCAAAAGCGGAUCCAGAAUAUUUUGGAAAACAUGUUCAGGUUAAUAAAAUAAAUAAAAUGGUCUUAUAGAUUAUUAGGUUCUGAUAUACCACGGUGCAACAUUCUUGCUCCAAAAGAUUGUUUCUGAGUUGAACAAUUGCACCUUAGAACAGAAUGUACAAAACAAGAAAAUCUUUGAACAUCUUCUAACUGGUAAAUUAGUAGAUGAUACUUUAAGCUGAAGGCACACUAUAACAGAGAAAUCACUCACCUGAAGACUGUAGUAGAUCCAUGGACGAACCCACUGUUUAUAUGCACAAGACUGGCAACACAGGAAAUGAACACAAUGCUGCAGAUAUUGAAGCUUCUAAUAAAGGAUGGGCAAGCUGGCAUCUGUAAUUACAUGGAUUCUAAGCUGGCCCGAAAUGGCUUUUGAGUAUUCUUCAGCAUUAUCCAUAAUUUUUUGGGGAAAAAAAGGAAACAUGUAAAAAAAAAAAAA
Molecule: long non-coding RNA, 1533 nt
Filed under: Carica papaya (papaya)
Lineage: Eukaryota; Viridiplantae; Streptophyta; Magnoliopsida; Brassicales; Caricaceae
Description: long non-coding RNA (CPAP_LNC011273)
Source: RNAcentral